RNAcentral lists this ribosomal RNA (366 nucleotides) under Triticum aestivum (bread wheat). RNAcentral's name for it is "partial small subunit ribosomal RNA". The record is from RNAcentral. Lineage: Eukaryota; Viridiplantae; Streptophyta; Magnoliopsida; Poales; Poaceae.
AUGAGGCCACUGCCACAAGCAUGGCGCCUCAAAGCGGAGCAAGUUGCAAGGCGCGGCAAAGUUGCACGGCCUGAGGCGGCGAAGUUGAAUGUCCUGGACGCUGCGGCUAUACGGGCAAGGAAUCACAGUUCAAAAAAAAUGUACGGGCAAGGAAUCCAGCGAGCUCACGUUCCCUGCCAUGGCGUCCAUCACGCGCAACGGAAGAUGGAAGGAGAUGGGGAGAAGCUAGGAGGGGCGGUGUUGGUGGCGGGGGAGCCUCGCCGGGGACAGCCACGAGGAGAUGAAGGCUGGCCGCGGGAGGUAGCAGCCAAAUCGACAGAGGCAAGUGGUGGUUGGCGGCAGUGGAGGCGCGUCAGGGAGCGUUGA